GGCGGCGUGCCUAACACAUGCAAGUCGAGCGGGGACAUGCGACGGAAGAGAAGUUUCGGAUGGAUCUGAAGAUGUAUGUUCUAGCGGCGGACGGGUGAGUAACGCGUGAGCAACCUGUCCUUCACAGGGGGAUAACACAGCGAAAGUUGUACUAAUACCGCAUAAGACCACGGCAGGACAUCCUGCAGGGGUCAAAGGAGGAAUCCGGUGAAGGGUGGGCUCGCGUCCGAUUAGAUAGUUGGUGAGGUAACGGCCCACCAAGUCGACGAUCGGUAGCCGACCUGAGAGGGUGAUCGGCCACAUUGGGACUGAGACACGGCCCAAACUCCUACGGGAGGCAGCAGUGGGGAAUAUUGGGCAAAGUGGGGGGAACCCUGACCCAGCAACGCCGCGUGAGGGAAGAAGGUUUUCGGAUCGUAAACCUCUGUCCCAGGUGAAGAGCAAGAGACGGUAACCUGGGAGGAACGCCCCGGCUAACUACGUGCCAGCCGCCGC
RNAcentral lists this ribosomal RNA (495 nucleotides) under uncultured bacterium. RNAcentral describes it as "bacterial SSU rRNA". It matches the Rfam family "Bacterial small subunit ribosomal RNA", at positions 38 to 518 of the family's 1533-position model. The record is from RNAcentral.